UCUGAUUGAUCCUGCCAGUAGCAUAUGCUUGUCUCAAAGAUUAAGCCAUGCAUGUCUAAGUACACACAGGUGGUACAGUGAAACUGUGAUGGCCCAUUAAAUCAGUUAUGGAUCCUUUGCUCACUCCAACCAUUACUUGGAUAACUGUGGUAAUUCUAGAGCUAGUACAUGCUGACGAGCACUGACCUCCGGGGAUGCAUGCGUUUAUCAGGCCAAAACCAACCCGGGCUCACCCAGCCGCUUUGGUAACUAGAUAACCUCGGGCCGAUCGCACGCCUUUGUGGCGGUGACGACGCAUGCGAAUGUCUGCCCUAUCAACUUUCGAUGGUACUUUCUGUGCCUACCAUGGUGACCACAGGUAACAGGGAAUCAGGAUUUUGGAAAGGGAGCCUGAGAAAUGGCUACCACAUCCAAGGAAGGCAGCAGGAGCACAAAUUACCCACUCCAGACCCGGGGAGGUAGUGACGAAAAAUAACAAUAGAGGACUCUUUCAAGGCCCUGUAAUUGGAAUGAGUACACUUUAAAUCCUUUAACGAGGAUCUAUUGGAGGGCAAGUCUGGUGCCAGCAACCACAGUAAUUCCGGCUCUAAUAGCAUAUAUUAAAGUUGCUGCAGUUAAAAAGCUCAUAGUUGGAUCUUGGGAUUGAGCUGGGGGUCCACCACAAGGCAAGCUACCGCCUGUCCCAGCCCCUGCCUCUCGACACUCCCUUGAUGCCCUUAACUGAGUGUCCUGGGGGUCUGAAGCAUUUACUUUGAAAAAAUUAGAGUGUUCAAAGCAGGCUGGUGGCUAGAAUACUCCAGCUAGGAAUAAUGAAAUAGGGCUCCGGUUCUGUUUUGUUGGUUUUCAGAACUGGGGCCAUGAUUAAGAUGGAUGGCCAGGAGCAUUCGUAUUGUGCCACUAGAGGUGAACGUGUUAAACUGGCUCAAGAGAAACCAAAGUGAAAGCAUUUGCCAGGAACGUUUUCAUUAAUCAUGAACAAAAGUUGGAGGUUCGAAGACUAUCAGAUACCAUCAAAGUUCUGACCAUAAACAACGCCGACUAGCAAUCUAGCGGCGUUAUGCCCACGAUCCCUAGCGUAUGUGCUAGGACCUGAGGGUGCUGAGGGGAUUGGUGGGGGUCAUAGCAGGGCCCCUGCCAUGGAUCUAUAAGUGCUCGUGCGGAACUGGCCAGGUACCAGAGGAUUAGCAAAGGGCCAUUGUGGUCCCCAUUUACAAGAAGGGGAGAAAGGAGGACGCCAGCAAUUAUAGGCCAGUCAGUCUUACCUUGGUCCUUAGGAAGACCUUUGAGAAAAUUAUCAAGGAGCACAUCUGCAAGGGCCCAGCAGGGGAAGUAAUGCUCAAGGGCAACCACCAUGGAUUCAUUGAGGGCAGGUGCUGCCUGACUAACCUGGUUUUGUUUUUCUGAUCAGGUCACAAAAUCCCUGGAUGAGGGUGUCAGGGUGGAUGUCAUCUUCCUGGACUUUAAGAAGGCCUUUGACAUGAUUUCCCACCACAUUCUCUUAAACAAAUUAGGUGACUGUGGCAUUGAUGCCUACACAGUCAGAUGGGUGGCAAAUCUGCUAGAUGGUCACACCCAGAGAGUGGUGUUGGAUGGGUCAUUUUCAACCUGGAGGGAUGUGGGCAGUGGAGUCCCCCAGGGCUUGGUCCUGGGGCCUGUACUGUUCAACAUCUUUAUCAGUGAUCUGGAUGUGGGUGUAGAAAGCACGCUGUCCAAAUUCGCUGAUAACACCAGGUUGUAG
RNAcentral lists this ribosomal RNA (1738 nucleotides) under Gavialis gangeticus (Gharial). Its description in RNAcentral is "bacterial SSU rRNA". The stretch from base 2 to 1101 matches the Rfam family "Eukaryotic small subunit ribosomal RNA", at positions 4 to 1116 of the family's 1831-position model. Lineage: Eukaryota; Metazoa; Chordata; Crocodylia; Gavialidae. The record is from RNAcentral.